This 700-nucleotide ribosomal RNA is filed under the name uncultured bacterium. RNAcentral describes it as "bacterial SSU rRNA". It matches the Rfam family "Bacterial small subunit ribosomal RNA", at positions 8 to 724 of the family's 1533-position model. The record is from RNAcentral.
AGAGUUUGAUCCUGGCUCAGGACGAACGCUGGCGGCGUGCUUAACACAUGCAAGUCGAGCGGUAAGGCCCUUCGGGGUACACGAGCGGCGAACGGGUGAGUAACACGUGAGCAAUCUGCCCUUCACUCAGGGAUAACCACCGGAAACGGUGGCUAAUACCUGAUAUGACCACUUCACGCAUGUGAUGGUGGUGGAAAGUUCUGGCGGUGGAGGAUGAGCUCGCGGCCUAUCAGCUUGUUGGUGGGGUAAUGGCCUACCAAGGCAACGACGGGUAGCCGGCCUGAGAGGGUGACCGGCCACACUGGGACUGAGACACGGCCCAGACUCCUACGGGAGGCAGCAGUGGGGAAUAUUGGACAAUGGGCGAAAGCCUGAUCCAGCAACGCCGCGUGAGGGAUGACGGCCUUCGGGUUGUAAACCUCUUUCAGUACCGACGAAGCGCAAGUGACGGUAGGUACAGAAGAAGCACCGGCCAACUACGUGCCAGCAGCCGCGGUAAUACGUAGGGUGCGAGCGUUGUCCGGAAUUAUUGGGCGUAAAGGGCUCGUAGGCGGUCUGUCGCGUCGGGAGUGAAAUCUCAGGGCUUAACCCUGAGCCUGCUUCCGAUACGGGCAGACUAGAGGUAUGCAGGGGAGAACGGAAUUCCUGGUGUAGCGGUGAAAUGCGCAGAUAUCAGGAGGAACACCGGUGGCGAAGGCGG